GAGGAAUACCGGUGGCGAAGGCGGCCCCCUGGACGAAGACUGACGCUCAGGUGCGAAAGCGUGGGGAGCAAACAGGAUUAGAUACCCUGGUAGUCCACGCCGUAAACGAUGUCGACUUGGAGGUUGUGCCCUUGAGGCGUGGCUUCCGGAGCUAACGCGUUAAGUCGACCGCCUGGGGAGUACGGCCGCAAGGUUAAAACUCAAAUGAAUUGACGGGGGCCCGCACAAGCGGUGGAGCAUGUGGUUUAAUUCGAUGCAACGCGAAGAACC
Molecule: ribosomal RNA, 270 nt
Filed under: Escherichia coli
Lineage: Bacteria; Pseudomonadati; Pseudomonadota; Gammaproteobacteria; Enterobacterales; Enterobacteriaceae
Description: partial 16S ribosomal RNA
Rfam family: Bacterial small subunit ribosomal RNA
Source: RNAcentral